Molecule: long non-coding RNA, 213 nt
Organism: Dromaius novaehollandiae (emu)
Lineage: Eukaryota; Metazoa; Chordata; Aves; Casuariiformes; Dromaiidae
Exons: 3
Source: RefSeq, a predicted model, not a curated record
GACACGAGGGAGAAGCUGCCCCUGUUUGCGAAGCUGGUGCAGUCCGUGUGCCAUGACCGCGCGGCCCAGGUGAGGAGGGCAGUGCUGCAUUUCAUUGGGGAGCUGCUGCGCUCCAGUGCCCCAGGCUGCUCGGCGUGGGACGUGGUGGGGCACCUCUUCAGCGAGUUCAGCCGGGCCUCGGGCAGACUGGCAAUGGGAAACCUUAGCAUGGUG